This is a long non-coding RNA of Gordionus sp. m RMFG-2023, 525 nucleotides long. RefSeq lists it as uncharacterized. The transcript is spliced from 3 exons. Lineage: Eukaryota; Metazoa; Nematomorpha; Gordioida; Chordodea; Parachordodidae. The record is from RefSeq and is a predicted model, not a curated record.
GUUCAAUAGAUCAAUCGGUGUUUAUCUUUGCUAUGAAUUGUAUUAACAAAUUAUUUACUUAUACCUAUUAUGAAGAAUUCUACAAAAACCAAAUUUAGGGUUCAGGAUGUUUUUCCCAUUAUUCCCAAGCGUUAUGGCGAAGAUGUCAAUCUUUAGGGUUGGUAAGCUUGUACCUGAACCACUCCAAUGUUCACAAAGUUGUUAGGCGCAUGACAACUUUGCCUUUUUGUAAGGAGGAAGAUGUAUCUAGGGUAAGGCAAAAUUGUUAUAUUAUGGCGUCUGAAAAUCCCAUGCUCAUGGGUUUUAUGGAGUAUAUAGAUACGACAUGGCUAGGCCUUAAUGCCAUAUUUCCUCAUGGCAUAUGGACAAGAUAUAAAGUCGAUGGUCCCAGCACCAAUAAUCAAUUAGAGGGGUUUCAUCAUGCCUUAAAGAGAAAAACGGCACACGCUCACCCAAAUGUUUAUAUUCUUAUCAUCAACAUUCUAACGACCUCAAAAUUAUCCAGAUCAAUAAUGGAUCUAGAGG